This 484-nucleotide ribosomal RNA is filed under the name uncultured bacterium. Its description in RNAcentral is "partial 16S ribosomal RNA". It matches the Rfam family "Bacterial small subunit ribosomal RNA", at positions 30 to 507 of the family's 1533-position model. The record is from RNAcentral.
AUUGAACGCUGGCGGCAGGCCUAACACAUGCAAGUCGAGCGGAUGAAGGGAGCUUGCUCCUGGAUUCAGCGGCGGACGGGUGAGUAAUGCCUAGGAAUCUGCCUGGUAGUGGGGGAUAACGUCCGGAAACGGGCGCUAAUACCGCAUACGUCCUGAGGGAGAAAGUGGGGGAUCUUCGGACCUCACGCUAUCAGAUGAGCCUAGGUCGGAUUAGCUAGUUGGUGGGGUAAAGGCCUACCAAGGCGACGAUCCGUAACUGGUCUGAGAGGAUGAUCAGUCACACUGGAACUGAGACACGGUCCAGACUCCUACGGGAGGCAGCAGUGGGGAAUAUUGGUCAAUGGGCGAAAGCCUGAUCCAGCUAUGCCGCGUGUGUGAAGAAGGUCUUCGGAUUGUAAAGCACUUUAAGUUGGGAGGAAGGGCAGUAAGUUAAUACCUUGCUGUUUUGACGUUACCAACAGAAUAAGCACCGGCUAACUUCGUG